This 386-nucleotide ribosomal RNA is filed under the name uncultured bacterium. RNAcentral's name for it is "bacterial SSU rRNA". It matches the Rfam family "Bacterial small subunit ribosomal RNA", at positions 28 to 417 of the family's 1533-position model. The record is from RNAcentral.
GACGAACGCUGGCGGCGUGCUUAACACAUGCAAGUCGAGCGGUGAACCACUUCGGUGGGGGAUCAGCGGCGAACGGGUGAGUAACACGUGGGCAACCUGCCCUUAGCUCUGGGAUAACCCCGGGAAACCGGGGCUAAUACCGGAUAUGACUUCGAGCGGCAUCUCUCGAAGUGGAAAGAUUUAUCGGCUAAGGAUGGGCCCGCGGCCUAUCAGCUUGUUGGUGGGGUAAUGGCCUACCAAGGCGACGACGGGUAGCCGGCCUGAGAGGGCGACCGGCCACACUGGGACUGAGACACGGCCCAGACUCCUACGGGAGGCAGCAGUGGGGAAUCUUGCGCAAUGGGCGAAAGCCUGACGCAGCGACGCCGCGUGAGGGAUGACGGCCU